RNAcentral lists this microRNA precursor (86 nucleotides) under Cricetulus griseus (Chinese hamster). RNAcentral describes it as "miRNA (ENSCGRG00000021771.1)". Lineage: Eukaryota; Metazoa; Chordata; Mammalia; Rodentia; Cricetidae. The record is from RNAcentral.
CUUGAAUGAUGUGAUGAGAACAUCAUUUUUAUCAGGCUGGAGAGAUGGCUGAGCCGUUAAAGGCUAGGCUCACAACCAAAAAUAUA